GAUGAACGCUGGCGGCGUGCCUAAUACAUGCAAGUCGAGCGAACAGACGAGAGUGCUUGCACUCUCUGACGUUAGCGGCGGACGGGUGAGUAACACGUGGGUAACCUACCUAUAAGACUGGGAUAACUUCGGGAAACCGGAGCUAAUACCGGAUAAUAUUUAGCUUCGCAUGAAGCAAUAGUGAAAGACGGUUCUGCUGUCACUUAUAGAUGGACCCGCGGUGUAUUAGCUAGUUGGUGAGGUAACGGCUCACCAAGGCAACGAUACAUAGCCGACCUGAGAGGGUGAUCGGCCACACUGGGACUGAGACACGGCCCAGACUCCUACGGGAGGCAGCAGUAGGGAAUCUUCCGCAAUGGACGAAAGUCUGACGGAGCGAUGCCGCGUGAGUGAAGAAGGUUUUCGGAUCGUAAAACUCUGUUGUAAGGGAAGAACAAGUACGUUAGUAACUGAACGUACCUUGACGGUACCUUACCAGAAAGCCACGGCUAACUACGUG
RNAcentral lists this ribosomal RNA (499 nucleotides) under uncultured bacterium. Its description in RNAcentral is "partial 16S ribosomal RNA". It matches the Rfam family "Bacterial small subunit ribosomal RNA", at positions 28 to 507 of the family's 1533-position model. The record is from RNAcentral.